RNAcentral lists this ribosomal RNA (465 nucleotides) under uncultured bacterium. RNAcentral describes it as "bacterial SSU rRNA". It matches the Rfam family "Bacterial small subunit ribosomal RNA", at positions 338 to 795 of the family's 1533-position model. The record is from RNAcentral.
CCUACGGGAGGCAGCAGUAGGGAAUCUUCCGCAAUGGACGAAAGUCUGACGGAGCAACGCCGCGUGAGCGAAGAAGGUCUUCGGAUCGUAAAGCUCUGUUGUUAGGGAAGAACAAGUACGGGAGGAAAUGACCGUACCUUGACGGUACCUAACGAGGAAGCCACGGCUAACUACGUGCCAGCAGCCGCGGUAAUACGUAGGUGGCAAGCGUUGUCCGGAAUUAUUUGGCGUAAAGCGCGCGCAGGCGGUCUUUUAAGUCUGAUGUGAAAUCUUGCGGCUCAACCGCAAGCGGUCAUUGGGAACUGGGUGGCUUGAGUACAGAAUUGGAAAGCGGAAUUCCACGUGUAGCGGUGAAAUGCGUAGAUAUUAGGAAGAACACCAGUGGCGAAGGCGGCUUUCUGGACUGUAACUGACGCUGAGGCACGAAAGCGUGGGGAGCGAACAGGAUUAGAUACCCCAGUAGUC